AUUCCAUAUUGUUGAAAUCUCAUCACUGGUGUUUCAGAAUUCUAGGCAGACACUAUCAUCACCAUAUCCAUCAGUCUGCCCCCAUCAGAUUUUGACACCACAUAUAUGUAGCUGUGAAUUCAUUACAAUUUUAUCGGGGGGGACGAUAUAAUAAUGAUACAUAAGACCUAAAGAUCCAAUUUGGUGGUGAGAGAAGCUACUUUCAUUGUUGUCAGCAAACUAAAAUGCUAUUGGACUCCAUGACCAUCAGCACUAUCACACAGUGGUUGGAGCAGCAUAAAGGGACAAUCUUUAAAUGAAGGAAAUGGCUAAUUAAUCCAAUACAAAAUGGUUCAUCUGAAGAAAGAUUAGGCAAUGCAGAUGAAAAUGAAGCAGACACAUACAUAAUUAAAGCAUGAGACAACAACCUUUUUCCUGGAUACACAAAGAUCUGCUGUUUGUUGUGUAUGCUGCAUAUGCAGCAGCAUUCUGCAAGAAAAUAUUAAUGCUUAUAUUCCAUUGGCAGACAUUGCUGCAUCAACUGUGGCAGUUCUACUGUUCCUCAUAAUGCUAGCAAUUCAUGUGUUUCUCAAAA
Musa acuminata subsp. malaccensis (wild Malaysian banana) is the source of this 574-nucleotide non-coding RNA. Lineage: Eukaryota; Viridiplantae; Streptophyta; Magnoliopsida; Zingiberales; Musaceae. The record is from RefSeq and is a predicted model, not a curated record.